Molecule: long non-coding RNA, 8214 nt
Filed under: Taeniopygia guttata (zebra finch)
Lineage: Eukaryota; Metazoa; Chordata; Aves; Passeriformes; Estrildidae
Description: lncRNA (ENSTGUG00000020673.1)
Source: RNAcentral
UUUCAAACAAUCAAUGUUUUAUUUGGUUAAUUUAUUAAACACCUUUAAGACAAUUAAUUUUGGUCUGUACCCUUCUAUAAAAUGAUUCAAGUUCUGAACAAACCUCCGAUACAUAAAGCAAAGUUACUUUUACCAUACGCAAAUUUCAGAUCAAAAUACAACACUCUGUUUUCUUACAUUUAUAAAACCCGGUCAAAUACAAACGACAUUAAAAAAGAUAAAACACUUUCACUGAUCCUUGGUACAAUAUUACAGCACAAUUUGCACAGUGGCAACUAAGUCCUCAAAGCACAAGUCAAAUACUUUAAAAAGGGAGCCUCCCUUUAGUCACCCAAUGUCCUACUGAACACGUAAACAAAGCGAGUGCUACUGAAUCCAGGAAAAUUCCCGUGUCCCUUUUCAUACCAUGUGUGAGCCACAAAGCAAUUCUGCAAGGGAAGCUACUGGUGAGUAACCAAAGAGCUUUCCUACUUUGCUGUUACCAGUUUUUGUGCAACUACUCCAUGAAAAUAAACAAAUGGAGGUGGACCAGACUCUGCACUGGGCAAUUUAUGGCAACUAAAGUAAACCAAGAAAUUAGUGUUUUUCUAAAAAUAGACCAUAAAACUAUUAAAAAAAUACCAAAUUUCAUGGGUACAACUAGAGUAACUGCCUUUUGUUUCAUCUUCAAGACAUCUAAUGAAGACACAGAGUGUUUUCAAUUUUUGAGUUUGUUCAAUUGCAAAACCCAGUGUUUCAGCAAUGGGUCAAAAUACCAUUAGAAUUGCACAUUUUUCAUCAAUUACAGAAUGCAUGGUUGCAUGAAACGCUCAUUUGGUGCUACACCUGAAAGCCUGCACUUACACUAACCUGUGAACAUGAGGGAUGUUCUAUGAAACACAAACAAGAACAAAAAUUAAAACUACAAACAUAAAAUGAUAAAACUCAAGUCUCAGUUGAUAAACAUUCCUGGGAAGGUCCUACUUAGCAAACCUUGCAGCAACACCUCGAGAAGAGAAAGUAAAACCAGAAAAAUGGAUAGGUCUGAUGUGUCCCCUCGGGCUGUGCUUUGCAAAGGCAGUCAGGGCAGUUGUACCACAGUGCAACUGAAGGGUUUUUGCCUGAAGUUCUGCAACCCCUUAAUUCCCCCCACCCCCAAACCACUGAUUUUACUCACAGUUCAAUUGUAACUUCAGUUAUUCAGUCCCAUCUAAUGUGAAAACGUGUACAUCAUUAAAUGGAAAAAUGCACUAAUGGAUCUGACUUUCCUCUCUCCUCCCUCCCCAAACUCACAUCAAACCCACGAGGACACCACACACUCCAAAACUUUUCCUAUCUGUUAAUGUUCACAUAAUCCUGACAGAACAGAGAACUGCAAACUGCACAAACAAUACAUAGUUAAAUAAUGCUAAAGUGUAAACAAUACAGGAUGGACAUAGUUUAAUAAAACCCUGGUGAGGUACAGCAAAAACUUAAUUUCCUAAUUUAGUGUUUUAAGUGCAAUUGAAACGCUGCUGUACCACCCUUCUGCAAACAUACCUCUCCAGAAUUAAGCUGCACUACUAGGCUUAUUUUCUUAAAGCUACAUACCCAUGCUAUAACUCAUUAUAUUGACUUAAUGCAAAUAUUUGUGGGGAAAAUUAAUUUACAGGGUUAAUUAAAAUCUUUUUAGUAUUCAAAAGGAAUGAUAGUAAAGGGAUCAACCAUGGAAAAUGUGGUAAUACAUGUUUUUUAAAAGAUUUCCAAUAAUUCUAACACAAACCAGCAAGUAUAUUUUGAAAAAUGCAUAGAAACCCUGUCAAUACAAAAAUCCCCACUGAAAUUACACAACUAAGCAAUUUUAAUCUAAAUAUUUUAUGUGCUUUUCCUAUAAAGGCCACUUUGACGUACAAAUACAAAAAAAUUUACAUUUUUCCCCAAAAUAAAUUAUUUGUUCCUCAAUUAAAAAUACUGAAUAUGGAAGCAUAACAACCCUCACUCAUGCCAGCUGCUCAUCUGCAGUGGCUAUUUCUGAAGAAGAAAAUCUCCUAAUAUUUUCAGUUACCAAAAGAAAUAAGAAAUGGCUUCAGCCUGUGGUCUGCUUAGCACUAGGAAAAACCUGGGGGAGGGAAUGGAACAGGCUGAGCCCCUUACACCGCGUGUGCUGGGGAGGAAAUGGAUGUACACAGAGAGAGCUUUCCUGCUUGUCUCCCAGGCUAUGCACCAAAAUCCCUGUUUGGAAUCAGAGAAAGAAAUCGAGGUCAAUCUCAAUUAAAGAGAGACAAAAUAGUAAAGGGAAUUAGGAGGCAGAAACUGUAUGAGGUCCAGGCUUAAGGAAAUGAAGAAUUCAUGAUCACCUGGGAGAGGAGAGCUCCUCACGGGAGGCAGAACCAGGAAAAACUGUACCCGUUUUUUAACAGGGGGAAGAAGAAGAACACAAGGAAUAAAUUUCAUUGGAAAAAUGAAGCAAUGGGAGAACAAAGAACCUUUACCACAAGUCCUGACCACAUGGGCAUUUAUCGCUGAAUUGCCACAGAAGCAAAAAGACCAAACUCGCACAGAAGUGGCAGAAAUGAAAACGUACUUGGACUGAUUGGAGACAUCACAGGGAUUCUUUACUGUAAGCACCAGAUCCACAAGUGACUGACACAGGGAAAGCAAGACAACACCAACCCAGAGGGCACAGCAAACCCCAAACACCUGACAUGCUCUAGGGCAGGGAGGUGCAAACAUGCUGAAGUGGCCCCAGAGGGUAAAGCCACAGUGGUGGGGUUACAGGACAAGCUCCAGUUGACAACACCAUGGGACAACAGGAGGGACACACACGGAGAUCACAUCAUUCUGAGCCAAAACACCCAGCAACCUGACCUGGCGGAACUGCUGGGUCAGGCAAGGGGGCAGGAGCAAAAGCAGUGAACUAGAGUUGAUCUGGAUACGAGAUUCGUGGGCAGCCAUUGAGUACAAGCUCUCCUAACCUUGGACCAAGGACUGGGUUUGGAAGGACACAGGAGCUGCACUUCUGUAUCACAAGGAAUUCAGCUCUCUGGUGUGCUGUAUUGCAUAGUUUGAUUGAGGUCAAAGAGCAUUUAUGUCUUAUUUUUCCCUGUUUUAAACAGAAGUAACUCAGCAUACCCCGAUCAGAGCAUUCCAAACCCUGCCCCCAAGUGAUUAAUCAAUUAAUUUCUAAAGAUUUUGAGGUGGACACAUAAAAGAUAAAACUCCAUUCCCACACAAAGCACAGAAGGACCCACAGAACAUGUACACACACAGAAAGGCUGUAACAGUAACCACAUCUGUAACACAGGAGUCAGAGCACGACAGCUGCAUGAUGGGGAUAACCCUUGCUGUCCAGCUGCAUGCCACAGAUGGUAAAGAAGAGGUGAGUACUUUUACCUCACCACACCAAUGUGCCUUUUGUAGAAAAGGUGGCAAUAUAUUCUGACAAUAUCCUGGUAAUUAUCAAGAUCUUAGAUUUGACAGAACAUUGAACCUUUAGGAGAGCGGCAGCAACGUAACAUCACAUUCCAACACCCUCCUAUUACUUGGUUCAUGGAAUACAGGCAUCAUAAUUGGAUUAUUCAAUCGUUUUUUCAUUCUCUUAAGAUAUAAGAGAGUAUUUGUACUGUACAUAGUCAGACUAAGUACACUAGUUAUCAUUCUUAUAAUACAUAUUCAUUUCUUUAACCCAAUCCCACAAGAUUCAUGGAACUCAAUAAAUAUGGUUUACCGAGAGAAAACUCUGAAGAUAGAGCAUCUAAUGUGAAUACAUUUCAGUUUUUCCUUCUGAAGGUAAAACAAUUCCAGCUUAUCAGGGUCCCACUCUGGAUUAUAGAGCAGUGGGCAUACAAACUGGGAUGCAGUUUCACAUCUCUGGUUUCUCAAAAAAAGAAAAAAGUGCAGUGGAAAAACAGGUGGCCAGAAGCUCCCUGGCUCUUCAGGCCAGUACCUGUGGUUCCACACUGCAGACAUAGUUCCAGAACCCACAGUUCCAUAGCUCCAGAAGUUUCAGAUUUAAAUACAAUAAAUGCAAAAUAGCAAAUCUCCUAUAACAGGCCAUCAAUCUUUAUAUCGUAAGGGACAGUGUGGACUCAUCCUUACCUGUGCAGCAGGGAGCAGCUGCAAGGCAAGGAACAAUGCUGCUCCUCAGCCUUCCCUAGAAUGAGAGGAUCAGGAAUUUGCAAGCUCAGUAGAGUUUCUCCACUUUCAGCUGUUUUCAACAGUUUUCAGCUGUUUCUCAGAAGCACUGCAGGUAACACAGAUACUCCUGUGAGGCCACCAACCAGUGGCUCCUCUGCAGUGACAGCCUGGAUGAGUUUGGAUGGUCCAGAGGGCAGCACCCAAUGUGUGAAGGAGGAGAAGGACAAGGCAGUCUCUGGACUCUUUUCAAAAGGCUAAAGGACACUGACAUUAAUAUGAGUGAAAAAUGCUACAGCACUGGGACUGCAGAGCCUAUAAGAAGACAAUAAAUAACCUGAUGUCUGGAGAUGGGACAAAUUCAAACAUCAACCCUUGAUCCUGCUGCUUCAGACAGGGCAGGAGUAGGACUUUAUGUGCUUCAGAGAAAGAAAAACCUUCCUGUAGCAGUGUUACCAAAUGCCUAAACCAAACUGAUGAUACAGAUCAAACGAAAAUAAAGGCAGCAGAAAAAGGACAACAACAAAGUUCCUAUGCAGGACUAAAAUUCAGCUCUCGCCUCCAGAGCUUGUGUCUACAAGAACCUCUUCUCAGAGUGCCCAAGCCGAUGUCACUGCAAUGGCAGCACUUGGAGCUUCCCUCCUCCCUCCUCCUGAGCACUAAACCCUGGGGGGCUGAGCAGGAGGGGUCUGAGACAAACCCUACACUGGGCACAACAUCCCAGUGACCUGCCAGCCACAUGGGUCAGCGUGUCCCAGACACACAGCCAUGUCCUGGGACCAAGCCUGGGAAGAUUAAUAUUUAUGGAAUAGCCACCAUGAUGCUAAUGGAAGGCUCUGGAAUUAGCAGCUAAUUGGUACAGUCUGCAGAGUUAAUGAAUAGCUCCUUGUUUCACCCCUGCUAUUUGUGCAUGGCCACUAAAAUGUUUGCUACAUUGAAUUCAAAGUUAGUAUCAGUGGCUCCUCAAAAUUUUAGAGGAAAAUAUCCUCUGUGAUGCAUUUCUUGGUUUUGCCUUUACAAAGAAGGGAAAAGGGAGCAUUUUCCCAUUAUAUUUUGCAUUAUUAAGGCCUUUUGACAGUUUGGAAGCCAUCUUUAUGAAAAGGGAUGCUUUUCAAAAUAGAGAUUGAAUACUCAAAGAAAAACUCCACAGAAUAAACACAAGCUGAUUACCAGCUUAUAUUGGUACUUUUAGAAGUCAAGCACAGUGUAAGGAAUUCAAAACUAUGUCGAAAUAGCACCUUUAGGAGCAGAAGAAAAGACACUUUUUAAAAAACUUUUUCAAUCUAAGCAAAAUCCCACAUACCUGAAGAUCACAAAGAAAUGGUCAAUGACAUUAGUUCAGGUAUGGAAGGCAGGUAGUGAUUUGAACAGUUUUUCCUCUGCAGGUGAUUAAAUGGGAAACUCCACAGAAAAAUAUCUAAGUAGACAUUACAGAAAAAUCAGUGAAUCUCUCUAUUAAGAUAAUGUAUCAAGUCCACAGGCAAAAUAGUGAGAGCAGAGUAGAGGCAGAGAGAAAACUAUCUGAUCUGUCCUUAAAAGAGCAGAGACUUCUAUUUUUUUGAACAGAUCGCUUCCUAUUUAAAAAUCAUCAGGACAGCCUUUCAAUUGCUACUCUCAUUUCCAAGUAUAAUAGUUAUUAUCAAGUAAUAGAAAUUUUUAUUUACUUUUUACAGCAGCUGCAGGUCAACCUUGGUCUUUUUGUACAGAAACAUUAAUUUAAAAUGAAAUUAAACUGUCCUUGGACAAUGGUACCAUUCUGUCCUGCUUCUUGUCUGCUUUUAGGUUUUUUUUUAAUUGAAGGACAAAAUGUGAUUUAAAACAAAACAAAAAAUAUUUGACAAAGUGCAAAGAAAGAAAAAAUGAGGUAGCUGGGAGUAGGGGCUUUUCCCCCCAGGACAAAGCGCCAGACUUCCAGGCACAGUGACACACAUGAGGGACUGGGCUACACCUGCUCUACCUGCAGGUUUGCUUACAAGUGUUCAGGUGAUCUCUGACCUGCUGGCAUCAGUUCUAGAAGCUCCAGGAAAAGUCAUUUCAUUGUGUGCUAAGCACUGUCCCCACACACACUGAUGUGCAGAGAUGUGCAAAAGCCACAGAGAGCAAGUUGGUGUGGCCACCCUCUGACCCACAGCAGUUGUGCUCCCUGGCCCGUGGGCACAGGCCAUGUGUUCAGAGGGAGAAUGAAAGCAAAAUCCUGUUAGUAACAGCAAAAGAGAAAACACCCGAGGCCAGAGGAAACAUGGUGCAUGGAACACCCAGGACCUGCCCCUGAUGGGCUUUGGGGUCCAAAGACUGAGGGCAGUCAGUGGUGGCAAUUCCAUGAGUUCUGUACCAAACCCAGCCUCUUGCCCCAUCUGACACUCACAGCAAGACUGGUGCAGUGUAAGGAGAAUCGUCUACUGAACCUUCUCCACCCCUCAGCACUGUAAAGGAGCUCCCAGGAGCCCCCCAGAACACAGCUUGCUAUUUACAUCAUGUAACCAAGAUAGGACAGAACACUCACCAUGCAUUGCAAAAUGCAUUCUUAGGCCCUUAAAUACAAACAUGUUUCAGUUGCAAGAAGCAAACCACUCAGGUUUUGGAAAUUAAGGAUUUAAAAAAAAAAAAAAAAAAAAAAAAAAAGCUUAAAAUGGACUUAGCAGGUGUUUCCCCAAGCAAACAAAAGCUAGAACAGACUUCAUGUUCUCUAAGCAACCCAGAGGAGUCCUUUGGACUAGUUUAAGACCAGCUCUGAAAGGGUUUGAAAGUAUUUCUGAAGAGGGCACUCCCUGGCUUCCCUGCAGAAAGAAACUAUAGCAAGAGCUUUACAGAAUGUCAGCUGUGUUUAACUUGAUCAUCUCAGCAGAUACCCCUGUGUACUGCUUUAUUCACUCAAAUAAGCAGGCUUUGCUUUUUAAGACAUAAAAACAGUGAAACAAGUGACAGGGAUGAUUAUGCUUUCCUGCCAUCAUUUGUAAAUUAAUAAAGUAGAUUAAUAAAACCUGCAGCUUUUGCAUGUGAGGUCAUUCAGGAGAGAACCAUAAGCCCAGCCAAGGAUCAGGGUUUUGUAGCACGCUGCCUAUUGAAGACGGAAAUUUAAACUUUCCAAAAUUGGCUUUUGCUUUCAUCAGGUACAAAUUUGUUCCACAGGGCAUUUUUUUUUUCUGGUCUGAAAUUGGCAGAGGUGGUAACCCAAUAACAGAAUGCACAGAAAUGACACCUGUGAAACAAGUGCACAGCUGGUGGCAGGAGGUUGGUCAGGCUCUGACAGGGUUUAGAACUAUAGAUAAAGGAAAUUUGCCCUCGACAAAAACUGAGGUUGUCUCAGCAUUAACUCAAAAGAAAUGGAGGAAAUUCAAACAAAUUUUUUUAAAAAUUAAAUAAGUGCCUAAGGUGGUCAUUUAAAAACACACAGUAUUAAAAACCCAAUUAAUUUCAUCAAUCAAUUUUAAUCAAUUUUAUCAAUAAAGUAACACUAAUUACAUAGGGUAUGCUUCUUUCUAUUAUUGUAAUCAGACCCGUCAGUUUUUACCAGGGCUCAGAACAGCCUCAUUCCAUUAUGCAAAUUCAAGGGCACAGGUAGGCAGUGGCAUUGAGCAGCUUCAUGUCCUGAAGUGCUCUGGCAGGUGUUCUCUGCUCACAGAAACCCUGCAAAACUGCUGGGCAUCAAGAUUUAGCCUUUUUCUAUUGAAAAGCACCAAUCUUCCAGCUCACUUUUCAAGAUAUUUCAAUGGAUUAUUUAAAAUAACCUGCAAAUACUAUUUUAUGUAAGUACUUAAUGUAUUGCAAAUACUUUUAUAACUAAAAAGCCGCUACCUAGAAUAAGUAAUUUAAAAAAUAUUAUUCAGAUUUUAUAUCAUCAAUAAAUAUUCAACAUAAUUACCUGUUGGUAGUAGCUCAUAGUUUCACUCUCUUGUUACCCUUAAUCCUAAUGAGCAGGUGUUUAUCUAGAUGAAUGGCUUUAGUCUAUGCUUUUAGGUAACCUAUUAAUCAAAAAUUUGAGAGAGUUGAUUGCUGGAGAAGAGCAGCAGUCAGACUGCAGAGUCACACUGGGCAUGGCUGGUCAGAGGUGUCACCUUAAGCCCUGGCUGCAAUCCUUCCUACAGCAAGGAAUUUCCCAGGGAAAAAAAAAAAGAAAAAAAA